UAGGCGACGCCGACCGACGCGGACGCCGGGGCCCCGGAGGGAGGGGACGCGAAAUAUAGAGGAGAGGAGGAGGAAGCCGGAGCGUGGGGAGCGGCGGUUACGGUGACGGUGACGGUGAACAACUGACUAAGUGGGGGUGCGGUAAAGCGUGUGGUCUCUGACCAUCUCCUGGUCUCAAGGUACCUCCUCCCCUACGCCCACCGCCACCACCCGCGGCCGCACUCGCCGGACCGCCGCCGCGUGCUCGACCGGUCCCGGCCGCCCCGCCGCGCGCACUGCCACAUGCUCCGCCUCCUCUCGGAGCCGCCGGUGCGGUCCUGGCGGCUGCAGCUGCCGCAGGUCGAGCUGGAGCCGAAGUACCAGAAGUUGGCCCACUGUAUGGGUUUGUACGACCUUACCAAACUUCUCGAGCCCCAUCUCUACCUCUAUAGUCUGUACAGCGACAGUCACUCGUGUGUCGAGAGGCCACCGCCGUCCACGCUCACCCCGUCGGCCUUGCCGGAGAGCCCGGAGGAUCGCGUCUUCUCGUUACGGGAGGCGGGACGGAAGACCGUGUACUAGGCGCUCUAUGAGUUCAAGUUCCUCCUACGGGAGUUCAUGGACCUCCUGGUACUCUCGUUGGGACUGGACUUGGCCGUGCUCUGAGACCCCGUCAAGUAGGUCUGCGUACCUAUGAGGGUCGAGAAGGUCCUCCGAAUGGACUAGGGUUAGACACGUUCGUAUACCAGUACGGGCAGCGUCCCCCACGAGCCGAAGAGACGAAAGAAGCAAGAGAGGAAGACGGCGUUGGUAGUGGAGGAAGUCUAGAAGCCAGCCGGGGUUACCGAGUGGCAGUUUCCAGCGAGCGUAUGUAUACAUUUGUUCCAUUCCCUUCUUGACCUUUCGUACCCAACAGUCUAAUUCUGGUCGACGGUUCAGUUUAGACAAAGUUCGCAACUUCCUCCUAUGUUUCAGAACCUCCAGCCACCGAGCCUCCUCCACAUGCUGUUCUAGUAUAAACCACGAGUACGUGGACUACAAGACUCUUACGAUCCUCUACUUCGUUGUGUGCUCCUCAACUCUUAAGACCCACGAAAGGUUAUACAGGUGUCACUGUAUAUGGAGGUAGCGCUGCUGUGAAACUACGGUGUCUUGGGCAGUCGUACCUCGCGGACCUUGAAGAACCCCUGUUGUUCGUCGCCGCAGAGACAAUGGAUGACCGAUUUAGAGGAGGUCUUGUAGCUUAGAUGGCCGUUCGGAAAGGACCACUGUGACUUAGGUGGAGUACAGGGCCUAGUACAGCACGAGUUUACCUUGUGGCCGGUAGGACAAGGCAGACAGCGCCGACGUUUCCGAAGCAACCUCGAAGUCGUCUAGGUUCCUUUGUCCCCUUAUACCAAGACACCCCGUAUAGUUCCAAUACCGAAGGUACUUCUACCGGAAUUCCGACCCUUCAGACGCCGAGUUUCAAACGAACCCGUCUUCUCGUCGGAAGAAGACUUGGGUUUUGUCUACCACGGCAGUACCUGCCUUUGACCCCGAGCGGAAGACCAUUGUUCCAAAGAGUUGGUUAUACAGUGGUAGCCAUUGUACUGGUAAGAACUUCUUCCACCGUGAUACAAGUCAAAGCCACUUCAGCUGUUUUUUACAGAACAGUUUUGACAGAACGCUCAAGUACUGGGUGAGAAGAUGACCUUCCAGCGUUGGCUUCGCCUAGAACCAUACCGACUACGUAUAUAAUUACCAAUAAAAAGAAAACAACUAUUUUCUCUUCCCGAGGACUUAGAAAAGGACUAAGAGUAACGUUUGUCCCUACGAGUCUUCUCAUCAUCAUCACGACGGUCAUUUUCCCCAACCACCUGUGGGUACGAAAACUGUCGACCCUAUCGUAGACGUUUUAUAAAAGACGCGGUGUAGAGUUCCUUCUUAUGACAGUGUGUUUGAGCGGCUUUGUAGAGAGUCGUGAUACUAGACUCAUUACUAAAGAAGAGCUAAAAGGACCUAGGUAGCUACUGAAUGAGAACACGUCAUAAGUUCCACCUUCUACUUUCGAACCUUCAUCGGGUCGUUGCGUUUCAAUUGGAGGAUUAGUUCUUCCGAUUUCACCUCGCCUUAGUAGUACAAGAACUUUAGCCAUCGCCAACCCCGUCGAACCGCUACCUUCACCACUUCGUUUGCCCUACGUUUAUGUGUCCCUAAUGUAACAGACUCCUCGUUGAAUUUAUACGAGUUUACUUUCAUUUCCUUCGACCAAACCUCCUAGCGUAUUGAAAGGACGACACACUGAUGGCAGUUUAUGGUUCAGCCACAUUCAUGCUGUCCUAGUAUAGUACGCUCUACUAACUUCCCCAACCAGUACUUAAGUACCUGCUAAAGAAACCGACAACACUCAGAGAUAACCGAGGUCUACCGGAUAAACAGGAGGUCAAGUAUAGCUAAGGUCUUCUUGCCAUACUCCUUAUGUCCUCUUCAAGUCUGAAGUAUUUUCUUAUGUAGAAAGGUCCCCCAACGGAAGGAAGGAACCGGGCCUAGUGCAGACGGUACAGGUGGCGCAGGUCCGAGACGUAGCUCGUCCAACUCUUGUAGCCCAUGGUAAUGAUGGGCUGCGACUAUGCGACCUCCCUAUUGAAGUACCGGUUGUUUCUACGCUAAAACCGAGAACCUAAACUGCUGUUCAAAUAGGCACAUACCCUCAUGAUAAAGUAUAUGACACGACGGCCAAAGUUCAGUGCCUGCGAACCUUGAAUGGUCUAACACAAAAGAGCUGGACCGUUGCUGUUCGACCGGAUGCGGCUGUUGGGGAUACGUUCAGAAGGCCGUCGGAUCGUUCGAGUGACUUGUUCACGUGCUGGUAAGUUUGAGUAUGGAUAUGUAUCAUCCAACGUAAAUUAAUAGGUAUUUAAUUCCAGCUCUUUAACAUUAAAGGUAUCCUCACACACUUCACAGCUAAUAUCACGAUGGUGUCCCACUAAGUAACUAACCAAGUACAUUCCGCACCAAGUGGUACCCACUUGUAUAUAUGGUACUCUGUAAACAGGCGGACGACCGGGUUCCCGCACCAAAAGAAGGAGGAGAGUCGUAAAAGGAAGGUUCGGCGCAUCGGUAGAGGAAUAGUCGGCCGUGAGUAGUGGGCGAAUGACGCACCGAAAACAGAGAACUCCUUUUUAGACUACUACAAACGAACUAAAAAUAUGAACCUUCUUUUAAACUCGGAAGCCAUAUUCUUCUUGCGGUUCGAUGGAUCGGCUAGAUCCCGGUCGUUCCAAUCCCGAGAGCCGCAUGCACGCGAUACUACUAUAAACCACCGUCCGUAAAGUCUAGCUAAUUUCCCAAGUUGUCGCUACUACCGCCAAGAUCCUGCAACUAGGAAUCCCCGUGCACGUGUUUCUUAAGAGUCGACAGUAGGUGUUCCAGUCCGGCCGAAGCCAUACCGUCGCCACUGUCACCGCACAGCUGCCGAGCAAGACCACCACCAUGAUCAGCAAGCCACCAGUUCCCUGGAGUUAUAUUAAAGAUAAUACAAAUCCCAGGAAACAUAACGGCCACUUGAAAAUAUUAUCAGGUGUGAGGUCUGUUGAAAAG
RNAcentral lists this ribosomal RNA (3561 nucleotides) under Triticum aestivum (bread wheat). RNAcentral's name for it is "partial small subunit ribosomal RNA". The record is from RNAcentral. Lineage: Eukaryota; Viridiplantae; Streptophyta; Magnoliopsida; Poales; Poaceae.